RNAcentral lists this transfer RNA (67 nucleotides) under Hansenia oviformis. Its description in RNAcentral is "tRNA-His". The record is from RNAcentral. Lineage: Eukaryota; Viridiplantae; Streptophyta; Magnoliopsida; Apiales; Apiaceae.
ACAUAGGCAAGAAUAAUAAACACAAUAAUCCUAAACCUCAGGCUCUUGAUGCCAAUUGUUGGUUUUU